GACGAACGCUGGCGGCGUGCCUAAUACAUGCAAGUCGAACGCACUCUCGUUAGAUUGAAGAAGCUUGCUUCUGAUUGAUAACAUUUGAGUGAGUGGCGGACGGGUGAGUAACACGUGGGUAACCUGCCCUAAAGUGGGGGAUAACAUUUGGAAACAGAUGCUAAUACCGCAUAAAACCUAGCACCGCAUGGUGUAAGGUUGAAAGAUGGUUUCGGCUAUCACUUUAGGAUGGACCCGCGGUGCAUUAGUUAGUUGGUGAGGUAAAGGCUCACCAAGACCGUGAUGCAUAGCCGACCUGAGAGGGUAAUCGGCCACACUGGGACUGAGACACGGCCCAGACUCCUACGGGAGGCAGCAGUAGGGAAUCUUCCACAAUGGACGAAAGUCUGAUGGAGCAACGCCGCGUGAGUGAAGAAGGUUUUCGGAUCGUAAAACUCUGUUGUUGGAGAAGAACGUAUUUGAUAGUAACUGAUCAGGUAGUGACGGUAUCCAACCAGAAAGCCACGGCUAACUACGUG
Molecule: ribosomal RNA, 518 nt
Filed under: Latilactobacillus curvatus
Lineage: Bacteria; Bacillati; Bacillota; Bacilli; Lactobacillales; Lactobacillaceae
Description: bacterial SSU rRNA
Rfam family: Bacterial small subunit ribosomal RNA
Source: RNAcentral